Molecule: ribosomal RNA, 910 nt
Filed under: Rothia mucilaginosa
Lineage: Bacteria; Bacillati; Actinomycetota; Actinomycetes; Micrococcales; Micrococcaceae
Description: bacterial SSU rRNA
Rfam family: Bacterial small subunit ribosomal RNA
Source: RNAcentral
GCGUAAAGAGCUUGUAGGCGGUUUGUCGCGUCUGCUGUGAAAGGCCGGGGCUUAACUCCGUGUAUUGCAGUGGGUACGGGCAGACUAGAGUGCAGUAGGGGAGACUGGAAUUCCUGGUGUAGCGGUGGAAUGCGCAGAUAUCAGGAGGAACACCGAUGGCGAAGGCAGGUCUCUGGGCUGUAACUGACGCUGAGAAGCGAAAGCAUGGGGAGCGAACAGGAUUAGAUACCCUGGUAGUCCAUGCCGUAAACGUUGGGCACUAGGUGUGGGGGACAUUCCACGUUUUCCGCGCCGUAGCUAACGCAUUAAGUGCCCCGCCUGGGGAGUACGGCCGCAAGGCUAAAACUCAAAGAAAUUGACGGGGGCCCGCACAAGCGGCGGAGCAUGCGGAUUAAUUCGAUGCAACGCGAAGAACCUUACCAAGGCUUGACAUAUACUGGACCGCAUCAGAGAUGGUGUUUCCCUUCGGGGCUGGUAUACAGGUGGUGCAUGGUUGUCGUCAGCUCGUGUCGUGAGAUGUUGGGUUAAGUCCCGCAACGAGCGCAACCCUCGUUCUAUGUUGCCAGCACGUUAUGGUGGGGACUCAUAGGAGACUGCCGGGGUCAACUCGGAGGAAGGUGGGGAUGACGUCAAAUCAUCAUGCCCCUUAUGUCUUGGGCUUCACGCAUGCUACAAUGGCCGGUACAGAGGGUUGCGAUACUGUGAGGUGGAGCUAAUCCCUAAAAGCCGGUCUCAGUUCGGAUUGGGGUCUGCAACUCGACCCCAUGAAGUCGGAGUCGCUAGUAAUCGCAGAUCAGCAACGCUGCGGUGAAUACGUUCCCGGGCCUUGUACACACCGCCCGUCAAGUCACGAAAGUUGGUAACACCCAAAGCCGGUGGCCUAACCCUUUGGGAGGGAGCCGUCUAAGGG